CACAUACACAUGUUUAGCAGAUGUUAUUGGUCACAUACACGUUUAGCAGAUGUUAUUGGUCACAUACACAUGUUUAGCAGAUGUUAUUGGUCACAUACACAUGUUUAGCAGAUGUUAUUGCGGGUGUAGCGAAAUGCUUGUGUUUCUAGCUCCAACAGUGCAGUAAUAUCUGACUAAAUGCGUAUGUUACUAGUGCCAACAGUGCAGUAACAUCUAACAAUUCACAACAAUACACACAUCUAAAAGUAAAAUUAUAGAAUUAAGAAAUAUAUACACAUUAGAUUGAGCAAUGUCAGAGUGGCAUUGAUUCAAAUACAGUAGAAUAGAAUACAGUAUAUACAUAUGAGAUGAGUAAAGCACUAUGUAAACAUUAUUUAAACCUUAGUAAAGUGACCAGUGAUUCCUUGUCUAUGUAUAUAGGGCAACAGCCACUAAGGUGCAGGGUUAUGUAACCGGCUAGUGAUGGCUAUUUAACAGUCUGAUGGCCUUGAGAUGGUCUUUCACUGUUCAGAAGGCUUUCUUUGUGGUAAAUGAGAAGCACAUUGCCAGAUAACAGACAAGGUCAUGCGGAAAGAGUUCCACCCACAUGCAGUUAUAUUUUAAUUCAAGGGUGGCUCUUCCUAGAGACCUAUACCCUCCUGCAGGGUUAUGUUCCAGUCCUACUCAGAACACACCUGAUUCUAUUAAUCAGCUCCUCCUCAGGAUAUUGGGUAUAGGGCUGGAGCCAAAGCCUGCACGCCCAGUAGCUCUCCAAUAUGACGGAUGGCCAACCCUGUUCUAAUUUCCCCUGUUUGUGUGAAUAAAUCAUAUGCUCUGUGCUGCAUCUCAAUCCACCACACCCCAUGUGCCGCACUACAGAUCCUGGAUCUGAUUCCAGGCUGUAUCACAGCGGUCUAAGGCACUGCAUCUCAGUGCUAGAGGUGUCACUACAGAUCCUGGAUCUGAUUCCAGGCUGUAUCACAGCGGUCUAAGGCACUGCAUCUCAGUGCUAGAGGUGUCACUACAGAUCCUGGAUCUGAUUCCAGGCUGUAUCACAGCGGUCUAAGGCACUGCAUCUCAGUGCUAGAGGUGUCACUACAGAUCCUGGAUCUGAUUCCAGGCUGUAUCACAGCGGUCUAAGGCACUGCAUCUCAGUGCUAGAGGUGUCACUACAGAUCCUGGAUCUGAUUCCAGUCUGUAUCACAGCCGGCCGUGAUUGGGAGUCCCCAUUGGGCGCCGCGUCGUCCGGGUUAGUGUUUGGCCCGGGGGUAGGCCGUCAUCGUAAAUAAGAAUUUGUUCUUAACUGACUUGCGUAGUUAAAAGUUAAAUAAAUAAAAUAGAAAAUACAAAGGAUUGGAAAGGGAGGGAGUAAAUACUCCUAGACUCAUGUUACUGAUUUAGGACUGUCUAUCCGGAAAAUAUUGUAUUUGCUUGAGUAAUCUCCUACCUUGAGUGAUAUUCUUACUGACCCCCACUAAUGCAUGACCUAGACUAAAACAAGCUCGGACUAAACUAAGCCAACACUGAAAUAAAAUCAACAGAAAUAUGACGUUACUUUUACAAAGGUGCUGUAUAAUAUACAGUAUACAUUUAAAAUAAUUUGUUUUGUAUUUUGUUCAGAUCGUAUGAUUACAAAAGUAUGUAUACAAUUUUAAAUAAAUGAAAUAUUAAAGACACAACACCGUCAUGGUUUUCUGGGUGCUUUGUUUGUGUGGUUUAAGAUAUACACUGCCUUUCAAAAGUUUGGGGUCACUUAGAAAUGUUGUUUUUGAAAGAAAAGCUAUUUUUCUUGUCCAUUGAAAUAACAUGAAAUUGAUCAGCAAUACAGGGUAGACAUUGUUAAUGUUGUAAAUGAUUAUUGUAGCUGGAAACGGCUGAUAUUUAAUGGAAUAUCUACAUAGGUUGACAGAGGCCCCAUUGUCAGCAACCAUCACUCCUGUGUUCCAAUGGCACGUUGUGUUAGCUAAUCCAAGUUUAUCAUUUAAAAAGGCUAAUUGAUCAUUAGAAAACCCUUUUGCAAUUAUGUUAGCACAGCUGAAAACUGUUGUUCUGAUUAAAGAAGCAAUAAAAUGGGCCUUCUUUAGACUAGUUGAGUAUCUGGAGCAUCAGCAUUUGUGGGUUCGAUUACAGGCUCAAAAUGGCCAGAAACAAAGAACUUUCUUCUGAAACUCGUCAGUCUAUUCUUGUUCUGAGAAAUGAAGGCUAUUCCAUGCGAGAAAUUACCAAGAAACUGAAGAUCUCAUACAACGCUGUGUACUUCUCCCUUCACAGAACAGCACAAAUUGUCUCUAACCAGAAUAGAAAGAGGAGUGUGAGGCCCCGGGGCACAACUGAGCCGGAAACAGACGCCUCAAGUCAAGUUAAAUAAAGGUAAAAUAAAUUUGAGAGGGAAGCCUUUACCUUUAUUUAACUAUGCAAGUGGGUUAAGAACAAAUUCUUAUUUUCAAUGACGGCCUAGGAACAAUG
Molecule: long non-coding RNA, 2445 nt
Organism: Oncorhynchus tshawytscha (Chinook salmon)
Lineage: Eukaryota; Metazoa; Chordata; Actinopteri; Salmoniformes; Salmonidae
Source: Ensembl